Long non-coding RNA from Rhincodon typus (whale shark), 2725 nucleotides. RefSeq lists it as uncharacterized. Lineage: Eukaryota; Metazoa; Chordata; Chondrichthyes; Orectolobiformes; Rhincodontidae. The transcript is spliced from 2 exons. The record is from RefSeq and is a predicted model, not a curated record.
UGUUCGAUCUGUACCGUUUCCUGGGGGUUUCACCUUCUCUCGUCUCGUUGUUGUCAGCCUCGGAAAGACAGCAAGUUCCUGCCGGUGUUUGUGAUUGCUCGGUUCAUCUUCAUCCCUCUCUUCAUGCUGUGUAAUGUCCGUCCUCGACACAUCCCAGUCUUCUUCACACACGAUGCCUGGUAUAUUGUUUUCAUGAUGGUGUUUGCCUUCUCCAAUGGCUACCUCGCCAGCCUCUGUAUGUGCUACGGACCCAAGAACGUGGUUACGAGUGAAGCAGAGACGGCGGGAGCCAUCAUGUCCUUCUUCUUAUCCCUUGGCCUGGCAGCUGGAGCCUGUCUAUCUUUUCUGUUCCGUGGUCUGGUCUGAAAAAGAUCCUCAGGAGAUAUGAGUGUGGACUGUGGGAAUCUGAGUUCUACACAUCAGAUCCUAUUGUUUACUGUGUUAUUAUCCUUUUUAUAUCAGUUUUAAUCAGCUGCCAGUGUGCGAGUAACUGGAAACCACAGCCCUGCACUGGGCUGAAUGAGGGCAGGCUCUCACCUCCCUCCCACUUCACAUGCCACCCACCCUCUUCUUUAGCCUGACGUUAUGUUUUUCUUCUGUGCCCACUGUCCCACCUUCACCAAUGACUCUCUGCCAAUUUAACCCUCCUAUUUCCCCCUUCUAGCUCACUCUCCACUUAUCACCGACAAACAGUUCCUCAUUAAGAGCUGCCUGAUCCCUUUCUCUGUUCCAUUUCUGCCCCUGACUUUGACCCAUGCCUUCCCCCAAACCGCCAACCCCACUCCACCAACUCUCCUUGAUAUCCUCACCACCAAGUUGAUCUGAGCAGCAACUUGAAAUACCCAGGGAUAGCAAGAAAUGCUGAUGCUGGAGUCAGAGACAACACAGUGUGGAGCUGGAGGAACACAGCAGGUCAGGCAGCCUCAGAGGAGCCAUCAGAAGAUCCUUCUGAAGAAGGGUCCUGACCCGAAACGUCAACUUUCCUGCUCCUCUGACGAUGCCUGACUUGAAACACCCAGGGUUGUGUUGGGGGUUGAGAGCAGCGAGGAGUUGUGGGGGUAGAGGAGGGGUAGGGAUGGAGUCUGGGGACAUUUCUGAGAACUGAGGACCCCAGAUUUCCCAGAGGAAGCUCCAGCUAACCUUCAGGGGAAGGGGAUUUCCAGACCUUCAACUAAAUGUGAUGUUUGGCCUCCGCACCAGCCUUAAACUGGCCCAGAGCUCAACGCAGCUGCAGGCCGAGCCACUGGAUGUUUUUCUUAAUUCUAUCAUGGGAUGUGAAGACCACUGCCGAGACCAGCAUUUGUUUCUCAUCCCAAAUUGCCCUUGCAAAGGUGUAAGAUGCAAGGAAAGGCUAUUGCAGGGCAGUGUCACCAGGGUAGAUCAGUCCCCUCCCUCCUGCUCUGGGUAAACAUUCCCAGCUCCCACUGCUCCUCUUACCCGGUCACUACCCAAAGCAAAAACUGUACCACCAGACACUCCCUUCACCAGCAAGCUUUAAAAACCAGGGCAGGUGUUGUGUGGGAUCCCAAACUGGACUGACUUUAUUCAUGAACAAAAACAAAGUUGCUGGAAGAGCUCAGCAGGUCUGGCAGCAUCUGUGAAGGAGAAAACAAUCAGAGUUAACGUUUCGGGUCCGGUGACCCUUCCUCAGAACUGGCUUUAUUCAUAAUAACUACACAGAUUGCUGGAGGAACUCAGCAUCCGUGGAAACAGAAACAGUAAAGGUUUCAAGUCUGCCAGACCUACUGAACUUUUCUGGCUUUUUCUGGUUUUAUUUUAGAUCUCCAAGAUCUGCUGUAUUUUGCAUCUAUUUUAACAUUUGUUAGUCCCUUUGCAACAAAGAACGUACAGCAAUGGGGACACAUGAAUGUUGACAGUACAAACUAUUAUAAUCCAAGUGUUUCAACAACGUAGACAAGUCUCCAGAGGAUAGAAUAUCAGCAAUAACUCUCUUAAGUUGUUUUAAUAGAUUAUUUUUAUGCGCUAUUUUAUAUAUAUCUCUGUAAAAAAAAAUACAGCAUGCAAUCUAAUCCCUGUAAGCAACCACUAUACAAGUUAGCCUAUAUGAAUUGUACAUGAACUGGCCUGAAAAAAAGAAGGAACAUACUGCAAUUUAAGGAGCAAGGAUUGAGAAGAAACCACAAUAUGCUGAAUAAAUGUAUGAAAUGGAACUUUGCAGAUCCCUCAAAGGGGAAGUGGAAAUGGUGGAGCCAUUACUGCUAAAAAUGUUACUAACUACAGUCAGGAGGCAAAGUGUUGCUUGGAGGCCGCGCGGAAAAGGGCUGAGAUAAUAUCUAGUUGCUUUUCUGAAAGACAGAAGUUAAAUGAACAAGCUGUCAAAUGCAGUUGAAAUUGAGAUAAGACUCAAAAACAAUCCAGUUUUGUAGACAGUGAAAGUUCAACCAAUUGUGGGGAUCAUGACACAUUCAUGACACCCGCCAGUGGUCAGAUGGCCAAUGACUGAGAGCCAGAAGUGGGAUCGUCCUCCCAGCGAUGGAUCAUGCAGGCUGCAGGAACAAACUGGGGGAUAGCAGGUCUCCUAGAGGAUAGCUCAGGGCAGAAGUAGCCUACUCUGCUAUUUUGAGAUUGGAUUCGGGGGCGGCUGAUCAUUCUUCUAAUAUGACUCUCAGACAAUCCAAGCAACUCGCCUGGUGGAAUAUGUGAGUAUGAUGCAUAUAGGAUUAGAACUGUGGAAACAUGGAAUAAACUUGCUUGUGUGAAUGAA